Molecule: ribosomal RNA, 443 nt
Filed under: fungal sp.
Lineage: Eukaryota; Fungi
Description: SSU rRNA
Rfam family: Eukaryotic small subunit ribosomal RNA
Source: RNAcentral
UUGUAAGUUUCGGGGUUAGUAGGUUGGUCAUGCCUCUGGUAUGUACUGGUCUCACUGAUUCCUCCUUCCUGAUGAACCUUAAUGCCAUUAAUUUGGUGUUUUGGGGAAUUUGGACUGUUACUUAGAAAAAAUUGGAUUGUUUAAAGCAAGCUAACGCUUGAAUACAUUAGCAUGGAAUAAUGAAAUAGGACGUUCGAUCCUAUUUUGUUGGUUUCUAGGAUUGACGUAAUGAUUAAUAGGGAUAGUUGGGGGCAUUAGUAUUCAAUUGUCAGAGGUGAAAUUCUUGGAUUUAUUGAAGACUAACUACUGCGAAAGCAUUUGCCAAGGAUGUUUUCAUUAAUCAAGAACGAAAGUUAGGGGAUCGAAGACGAUCAGAUACCGUCGUAGUCUUAACCAUAAACUAUGCCGACUAGGGAUCGGAUGAUGUUAAUUUUUAAUGACUC